GAGGAAAGCGGCGGCGGUGGCGGCUUCAACAGCAGCUCUUGCCCUUAAGGAACAAUGAAACACAAAGAUGGUGCAGACCCAGGCCCUGCUUUGACUGGGAGAAAGAUGCAUUCAGUUGACUAAAACUUGAACGGUCGGCUCCACCAGUGCAAGGAUUGUGCCUGUCCUCUUCCCGGGCUGAUCUUCCCCUGUGCCUGGAACAGCACCUGCUAUAUAAAUUAUGUGCUGGAUACACACACUCGAAAAGCAAGAGAUCAGGCUCCCUGAGAAAGGCAGUUUACUUCUAUAGAAGGGUGCACCCUCACAGAUGGACCAAUGUGUCAGGAGAAUUCAGUCACACCCAAAGCAGGAGAUGCGGGAGGCCAGAUGCGCAAGAUGGACACUCGGCUCCUCCUUCGUCCCCGCCUCUCCUCGCUUCCAGGGUAGCAGCCUCAACAAGGGAAACUAUUGUUCCAGUGGAGGCUGCGAGGAUGUCGGUGAUUUACGCGCCGAGCUGUAGCUGCAAAAGGACAAGGGCAAGUGCCGGCCCGACCUAGGGCCCACCGGUCUCUGGCUUGCUCUUGUGAGUAGGUGCACCCUGCCCGCUUGUGGUGGCCUCAGGGGUAAGAAAUCAGGACCCACCCAG
Molecule: long non-coding RNA, 625 nt
Filed under: Homo sapiens (human)
Lineage: Eukaryota; Metazoa; Chordata; Mammalia; Primates; Hominidae
Description: PREDICTED lncRNA (TCONS_00278243)
Source: RNAcentral